GGAGACAUGGAACUCACCCUUACAAGGCCUAGAACCUGACAGAGCAUACAAGACUGAAGCCCAAAUAACCAAGAACAGGAAGCUGAAGUCCCCUUAUAGGUCACUAUGGGGAACUUCCUAGGCCCCAGGGCUGGCCUCAUUUAUGCCUGGUGCCGGGAGGCAGUGGCGUCAUGUUGUGGGACUCAGUCUGUGGCAGCUACACCACCAGAAUCCACGACUGCAGAGCCUGACUUUGUAUAUGCCGGAGUGGUGGAGGUCCAGCAUGUGCAGCCCAAGUCAAAGCGGCGCAAAGGUUUGGCUGGCCGCGUGAGGAGCUGGGUACAAAAACGGAGGCGUAAAAAAAUUUGCCCCACUGCAAAUGAAGGUAGGGUGGAAAUUAUAUCAUUAAGUUGAUUGAAGCAAACAAUUCCAGUUUACUCAUCCAGUGUCCCAGAGAAACUCAGUAAAUGCUAUGUGAUGUUCUUCAUUUAUUUCAUUUGUGCCCAUUUAAAUGCAUUAAAUUAAUGGGUGAUGCAACUACACAAGUAAAGUUACAUUGGCAACUUAGAGUUUGGUUCUUUUUGUUUCUUUGUUUUUGUGAAAAGGUCUCAUUUUCUCACCCAGGAGUGCACUGGUGCAAUCACAGCUCAUUGCAAUCUUGACCUCCCCGUGUUCAGAUGAUCC
This is a non-coding RNA of Callithrix jacchus (white-tufted-ear marmoset), 663 nucleotides long. The record is from RefSeq and is a predicted model, not a curated record. Lineage: Eukaryota; Metazoa; Chordata; Mammalia; Primates; Cebidae.